UACGUAGGUGGCAAGCGUUGUCCGGAUUUACUGGGCGUAAAGGGAGCGUAGGCGGAUACUUAAGUGGGAUGUGAAAUACCUGGGCUUAACUUGGGUGCUGCAUUCCAAACUGGGUGUCUAGAGUGUUGGAGAGGAAAGUGGAAUUCCUAGUGUAGCGGUGAAAUGCGUAGGGAUUAGGAAGAACACCAGUGGCGAAGGCGACUUUCUGGACAAUAGCUGACGCUGAGGCUCGAAAGCGUGGGGAGCAAACAGGAUUAGAUACCCUGGUAGUCCACGCCGUAAACGAUGGGUACUAGGUGUAGGAGGUAUCGACUCCUCCGGUGCCGCCGUUAACACAAUAAGUACCCCGCCUGGGGAGUACGGUCGCAAGAUUAAA
RNAcentral lists this ribosomal RNA (376 nucleotides) under uncultured bacterium. RNAcentral describes it as "bacterial SSU rRNA". It matches the Rfam family "Bacterial small subunit ribosomal RNA", at positions 524 to 898 of the family's 1533-position model. The record is from RNAcentral.